NNNNNNNNNNNNNNNNNNNNNNNNNNNNNNNNGCCUCUGGCAUCCCGGAGCCCGGCCUGCAUCCCAGAGCCUGGAUCCUGCAUCCUGCAUCCCAUCCUGCAUCCCAGAGCCUGAAUCCUGCAUCCUGCAUCCCAGCCUGCAUCCCAGCCUGCAUCCCAGCCUGCAUCCCAGAGCCUGGAUCCUGCAUCCUGGAGCCUGAAUCCUGCAUCCCAGCCUGAAUCCUGCAUCCUGCAUCCUAUCCUGCAUCCCACAGCCCUGCCUGCAUCCCAUCCUGCAUCCCAGAGGCUGAAUCCUGCAUCCCAGUCUGAAUCCUGCAUCCUGCAUCCCAUCCUGCAUCCUGCAUCCUGCAUCCUAUCCUGCAUCCCAUUCUGCAUCCCAGAGCCUGAAUCCUGCAUCCUAUCCUGCAUCCCAUCCUGCAUCCCAAAGCCCAGCCUGGAUCCUGCAUCCCACAGCCCUGCCUGCAUCCUAUGCCCUGACCUGCAUCCCACUCCAUACCUCAGCCUGCAUCCCAUCCCACAUCCCACCCUGUGUCCCCUAACCCAGCCUGCAUCCUCCAUCCCACCCUCCAUCCUCUAUCCCAUUCUCCAUCCCAUCCUCCAUCCCAUCCUCCAUCCCAUUCUCCAUCCCAUCCUCCAUCCCAUUCUCCAUCCCAUCCUCCCUGCUGCCUCCAGCCCACGUCCCCCUGCACAUCCCACAUCCCUGCUCCAUCUGCACAUCCCCUGCACCCUCCCUCCUCCUCCUCCUCCCAUGCUCCCCCCGUCCCCAGCACUGCCAGGGCCCAUCCCAGCCCCUCCGGGGGGCUCAGGGGCUGGGGGUCACCCCACAAACCCCCACCUGCCCCCAGGACAGAGGACACUUCCAAAACAGAGAGCAGGAUGGAGAGGGUGGGGAGGAGGAGGAGGAGGGUGAAGGCUCACGUGCUCUCACCCACACCUUGGCACAGGAAGCCACUUGUCACCUUGUCACCCUCUGGGCACAGCAGGAGUGGCAGGAGGAGAUUUGUCUCCUGUCCCCUCUGGUGUUCCCAUCCUGGGUGUUCCUGGGAGGUGGGGGGCUCCAGGGGGGCAGGGGGGCA
RNAcentral lists this long non-coding RNA (1075 nucleotides) under Zonotrichia albicollis (white-throated sparrow). Its description in RNAcentral is "lncRNA (ENSZALG00000005384.1)". The record is from RNAcentral. Lineage: Eukaryota; Metazoa; Chordata; Aves; Passeriformes; Passerellidae.